CACUCAAUUCGAUACAGCUAUAGAUUCUGCAACAAGUAACCUUUGCUGGAAAAGGAAUUCAAGCUUAUUUUCAAGCUUUGCCCAUGCAUUGAUUUGAGAAGUCAUAACCCAAUUCAGUCGUUUGUCAUGAAAAGAAAAUGUCUAAGCAUGCCCCUUAGGCUAGGCACACUGAUAACACAUGAUUGCUUAAUCGUAAGACAUGGGCUAAGUUUAGCAGGAAUAUAUGGACCAUCAGAGUACGGACUAUUUUAGCAGCAAGGCAAACAUCUAAAUAACCAAUAAUUAGGUAGAAAAGCGCAAAUUACAACUUUCAAUCUUUCAAGAAAGGCGAACUUAAAAAAUUGCCAGGGACGAGUACCUUCAAACUGUAUAACUUCCAAUUUCAGCAUGGCUGCAAAGCCAGCUGUGUAACCACGGAUGCUUAUAAUUUUUAUUUAGUUAAGAAUCAAACAACUGGUGAAAAAUAAACGAAAAUAUACUGUUUUUUGAAGGAGCAUGUCAAUUCUUGGUCAUGACCAAUGCUCCAUAAACCACCUCUCCAGAUGCUGCAUACGAUAUGUGUACUAGUAAGCAGAGUUAAUGCAACAAAAGAUAAGAAUGCACUUGGCAUGCAUCAUCAAUAAAUCACUAUAAUCCCCGCAAACAAAUCAAUUAUAAAGUAGUCUCUGGCCAGAUUAUAACUGCACAAACAAUGUGCUACUAGCAGAUUAUAGUAUGUGUACUGGUAGGCAGAGUUACACAAAAGAAGCAAAUCAGGAUGGUUAUAUGAACUAACUCACCAAGGUCUCGCAUGUUCAGUGACAGGA
RNAcentral lists this long non-coding RNA (806 nucleotides) under Hordeum vulgare. RNAcentral describes it as "long non-coding RNA (HVUL_LNC019542)". Lineage: Eukaryota; Viridiplantae; Streptophyta; Magnoliopsida; Poales; Poaceae. The record is from RNAcentral.